CCCUUAGAUGUCCGGGGCCGCACGCGCGCUACAAUGGAUGAAUCAACGCGUCAUCCUGGCCCGAAAGGGUUGGGGAACCGCUGAACCUCAUCCGUGGUUGGGAUUGGGGUUUGUAAUUAUUCCCCAUGAACUAGGAAUUCCCAGUAAGCGCGAGUCAUAAGCUCGCGUUGAUUACGUCCCUGCCCUUUGUACACACCGCCCGUCGCUACUACCGAUUGGAUGGUUUAGUGAGACCCUCGGAUCGGUCCCGACUCGGGGUGGGCUUCUGCCCCGGUCGUGGUUUCGCCGAGAAGACGGUCAAACUUGACUAUCUAGAGGAAGUAAAAGUCGUAACA
RNAcentral lists this ribosomal RNA (335 nucleotides) under uncultured eukaryote. RNAcentral describes it as "partial 18S ribosomal RNA". It matches the Rfam family "Eukaryotic small subunit ribosomal RNA", at positions 1470 to 1796 of the family's 1831-position model. The record is from RNAcentral.